GUGGGGAAUUUUGGACAAUGGGCGCAAGCCUGAUCCAGCAAUGCCGCGUGCAGGAAGAAGGCCUUCGGGUUGUAAACUGCUUUUGUACGGAACGAAACGGUCCGGGUUAAUACCCUGGGCUAAUGACGGUACCGUAAGAAUAAGCACCGGCUAACUACGUGCCAGCAGCCGCGGUAAUACGUAGGGUGCAAGCGUUAAUCGGAAUUACUGGGCGUAAAGCGUGCGCAGGCGGUUUUGUAAGACAGGCGUGAAAUCCCCGGGCUCAACCUGGGAAUUGCGCUUGUGACUGCAAGGCUGGAGUGCGGCAGAGGGGGAUGGAAUUCCGCGUGUAGCAGUGAAAUGCGUAGAUAUGCGGAGGAACACCGAUGGCGAAGGCAAUCCCCUGGGCCUGCACUGACGCUCAUGCACGAAAGCGUGGGGAGCAAAUGGGAUUAGAAACCCGAGUAGUCC
Molecule: ribosomal RNA, 450 nt
Filed under: uncultured bacterium
Lineage: Bacteria
Description: partial 16S ribosomal RNA
Rfam family: Bacterial small subunit ribosomal RNA
Source: RNAcentral